UUCAGGAGCUCCACCUUGCGAUGAGACACAGACACACAGCAGCUAGACUGCUGCAAAGCAGGUCCGGGAAUGCAAGGGUACUUUCUCUCUUUAUCUGUAACCUGCUCUGUCUAAAGCAGAAGAUUUAUAAGACCCCCCACCCCACGUCUUCAUGAAGAGUCUACCAACACAGGAAAUAAUAAAGAUGAACAAUAAAAGAACGAGAGAGAUCCACAUACAUAUGCACCCUGUGAAAACAAAUUACAUUCUGUUCACAUAAACUCUUCAGCAGCUGAUAAGAGCAAUGUCCAGAUUUCUUGAAAACAGGAUGAAACUGCCAGGACCCCUUCUAGAAGGUAAUCAUUUAUGGAAUAACCACAAAUGCGAUCAAUCAAG
Molecule: non-coding RNA, 375 nt
Organism: Leptonychotes weddellii (Weddell seal)
Lineage: Eukaryota; Metazoa; Chordata; Mammalia; Carnivora; Phocidae
Source: RefSeq, a predicted model, not a curated record